RNAcentral lists this ribosomal RNA (373 nucleotides) under uncultured bacterium. RNAcentral describes it as "bacterial SSU rRNA". It matches the Rfam family "Bacterial small subunit ribosomal RNA", at positions 29 to 426 of the family's 1533-position model. The record is from RNAcentral.
AACGAACGCUGGCGGCAGGCCUCAAACAUGCAAGUCUAGGGGGUGUAGCAAUACAUCACCGGCGGACGGGUGCGUAACACGUGGGAAUAUACCUUUUGGUUCGGAACAACGCAGGGAAACUUGCGCUAAUACCGAAUGUGCCCUUACGGGGAAAGAUUUAUCGCCAAAGGAUUAGCCCGCGUAGGAUUAGCUAGUUGGUGAGGUAAUGGCUCACCAAGGCUCCGAUCCUUAGCUGUUCUGAGAGGAAGAUCAGCCACACUGGGACUGAGACACGGCCCAGACUCCUACGGGAGGCAGCAGUUGGGAAUCUUGGACAAUGGGGGGAAACCCUGAUCCAGCCAUGCCGCGUGAGUGAUGAAGGCCUUCGGGUUGU